This 1496-nucleotide long non-coding RNA is filed under the name Dicentrarchus labrax (European seabass). Its description in RNAcentral is "lncRNA (ENSDLAG00005026485.1)". Lineage: Eukaryota; Metazoa; Chordata; Actinopteri; Moronidae. The record is from RNAcentral.
AGACAGUGAAACCAAAGACAAACUAAAAUCAACUCUAGUUUCUGCCCUGUUCAACCUCUUUUUCCACUAAAGACAUUUGACUUAUUUGUGUGUUGUUUUUAAACUACCAGACUUUUUUUUAUCUUCAGAUGCUGCUCAUUGGACAGUUCUUCAGGACCCACAUUCCUGUGCUUAUUAUCAUUCUUCUAAUACAGAGUUUAACAGUUUGCGUUGCAGAGCAGUCAGAGUUGAUUUGUUCACAUCAACCAAUCGUAGCCCUGGCUGGUGAUGAUGUCAUUCUACCACGUUACCUUGAUCUUCCAAUCAGUGCCAGUUCUGAGUCUGGGUCUGGCUGGACGGUGAGGGAAACCUCCUCUCUGCUGGACCUACAGAGACAGUCAGAGGUCCUGAUGACCUCUAUACUGUCAGCAGCAGAGUGACUGUGGAGAAGAGACACAGCAACAACUUCACCUGUAGAGUCCAACAGAAGGACAUCAACCAGACCAGAGAGACACACAUCUAUGUUCAAGGUUAUAAAGAGCUCUAAAUAUAUUAAACAUAUUGUCACUGUUGAGCUCUAGUUUGAUUCAAUAAUGUAAUUCUGUUCUCUCUUCUAUCUUUUCAUCUGAUUUAUUCACAGUUCUGUGGUCUUUUUAUUAGAUUUUUUGGAUCAUCAUCAUUCCUGUUUGUAUUAAUGUGCUACAAGUUCCUGUCAGAGCUCUUUAUUGACAUACAUACAGGCAUAACAACAGUAACUAAGCAAACAGUCUGAAAUGAUCUUCACUGCAGGAAAUUUGGGGAAAAUUGAGGAAAUUAUUAAAAUGUGUUGCUUUCAAAAGCUUUCUCUCAAAUGUUCUGUUUAUGAAAGUCACUGUGAUGUUAAAAAUAUUCCAGUUCAAACAACAAAAACACAUAAACAAAACCACUUCAACACUUUCCUGAUUCUGUUGGCCCACAGACAUAAAGAGGAUCCAGAGGAAUUAAAUGUAACACUGAAGACACUUUAAAACACAGAGAGACGCUGCGUUGAACGACGUGGACUAAAAACCUCCUGUAGUGACCGAGAACAAGGAGGAAAUCAUUGUGACACUAGAGGAUAUUCUCCAUCUUUUCCUGCUCUACCAGCAGCAUAACUUCUGUAUAUGCAGAUGAUGCAGUUGCACAGGGGCCUGCAGCAGUUCAGUGAGCUUAGCCCCUUAUGUUAACUGUUAACUGUAAGCUUUAUAAUCUUUUAUUGUUUGUUUUGUUUUUGUUUUCAUAUUAUUGUAAUUGUCUGCUUUUAUUUGCCUCAUUGUCAUCAUGAAAUGUUAAAUAAAGCUUCUUGUUGUCUGACUUGGCUAGGCUGACUGUUGGCUUAAAAGUUAAAGAGAAAAGAAUGUUGAAAUAGUUCUACCAAACAGUUCCCACUCAAGGUCCACUUACUGGUAUUUUCUUGAGUUUUCAGCCACAUCACACAGUGUUCAUGGAUGUAUGAAGUUUGUUCAGAUAAUUUCAGCAACCUCAGACUGUAACAGAAC